GUGAGGAAUAUUGGUCAAUGGGCGAGAGCCUGAACCAGCCAAAUCGCGUGAAGGAUGAAGGUAUUAUGUAUUGUAAACUUCUUUUACAGGGGAAUAAAGUGCGGGACGUGUCCCGUUUUGUAUGUACCCUGAGAAUAAGGAUCGGCUAACUCCGUGCCAGCAGCCGCGGUAAUACGGAGGAUCCAAGCGUUAUCCGGAUUUAUUGGGUUUAAAGGGUGCGUAGGCGGGUAAUCAAGUCAGCGGUGAAAGUUUGCGGCUCAACCGUAAAAUUGCCGUUGAAACUGGUUACCUUGAGUGUAGAUGAGGUGGGUGGAAUUCGUGGUGUAGCGGUGAAAUGCUUAGAUAUCACGAAGAACUCCAAUUGCGUAGGCAGCUCACUGGGCUACAACUGACGCUGAGGCACGAAGGUGCGGGGAUCAAACAGGAUUAGAAACCCCUGUAGUCC
This 445-nucleotide ribosomal RNA is filed under the name uncultured bacterium. Its description in RNAcentral is "bacterial SSU rRNA". It matches the Rfam family "Bacterial small subunit ribosomal RNA", at positions 354 to 796 of the family's 1533-position model. The record is from RNAcentral.